Molecule: ribosomal RNA, 468 nt
Filed under: uncultured bacterium
Lineage: Bacteria
Description: partial 16S ribosomal RNA
Rfam family: Bacterial small subunit ribosomal RNA
Source: RNAcentral
GACGAACGCUGGCGGCGUGCUUAACACAUGCAAGUCGAACGGAAAGGCCCUGCUUUUGUGGGGUGCUCGAGUGGCGAACGGGUGAGUAACACGUGAGUAACCUGCCCUUGACUUUGGGAUAACUUCAGGAAACUGGGGCUAAUACCGGAUAGGAGCUCCUGCUGCAUGGUGGGGGUUGGAAAGUUUCGGCGGUUGGGGAUGGACUCGCGGCUUAUCAGCUUGUUUGUGGGGUUGUGGCUUACCAAGGCUUUGGCGGGUCGCCGGCCUGAGAGGGUGACCGGCCACAUUGGGACUGAGAUACGGCCCAGACUCCUACGGGAGGCAGCAGUGGGGAAUAGUGCACAAUGGGCGGAAGCCUGAUGCAGCAACGCCGCGUGCGGGAUAACGGCCUGCGGGUUGUAAACCGCUUUCGCCUGUGACGAAGCGUGAGUGACGGUAAUGGGUAAAGAAGCACCGGCUAACUACGUG